UUUGAACCUGACGAUCUAUGUCACCCAGUGGUCUCCUCAGACCACGUAGCCAAAUAUAUUACAUCCAGAGUACACAAGUCUUUUAAGAAAGGCAAAGUGAAAUAAAUUGCGGGCUGAAUGCCCACGCCGAACAGUCCCUGAUGAUGCAUGUAAAACGCUAUUAGUUGAUCCUAACAUCAUUCAAUUCCUAAAUAAGACAGGA
This is a non-coding RNA of Pelobates cultripes (western spadefoot toad), 202 nucleotides long. The record is from the annotation of a GenBank genome assembly. Lineage: Eukaryota; Metazoa; Chordata; Amphibia; Anura; Pelobatidae.